UACGUAGGAGACGAGCGUUGUCCGGAGUUACUGGGCGUAAAGGGUGCGCAGGCGGCCUGGCGCGUCGCGAGUGAAAUCUCCCGGCUCAACUGGGAGGGCGGUCGCGAGACGGCGAGGCUUGAGGCGUGGAGAGGGGCGUGGAAUUCCGGGUGGAGCGGUGAAAUGCGUAGAGAUCCGGAGGAACACCGACGGCGUAGGCAGCGCCCUGGACACGACCUGACGCUCAGGCACGAAAGCGCGGGGAGCGAACAGG
This 253-nucleotide ribosomal RNA is filed under the name uncultured bacterium. RNAcentral describes it as "partial 16S ribosomal RNA". It matches the Rfam family "Bacterial small subunit ribosomal RNA", at positions 524 to 776 of the family's 1533-position model. The record is from RNAcentral.